UUUCCGAAGGGGUAAACCCAGGGUAACCUGGGGACACAAAGCCGCGGGUCCUGAUUGGUGGAUCGGUCAGGAUAGACGGGUUGGCGAG
Molecule: regulatory RNA element, 88 nt
Organism: Pelobacter propionicus DSM 2379
Lineage: Bacteria; Pseudomonadati; Thermodesulfobacteriota; Desulfuromonadia; Desulfuromonadales; Desulfuromonadaceae
Rfam family: c-di-GMP-I riboswitch aptamer
About the family: GEMM was predicted in a large-scale screen for bacterial structured RNA regulatory elements.
Source: Rfam